UGCCAGCAGCCGCGGUAAUACGGAGGGUGCAAGCGUUAUCCGGAUUUAUUAGGUUUAAAGGGUCCGUAGGCGGAAAUUUAAGUCAGUGGUGAAAGCCGACAGCUCAACUGUCGAACUGCCAUUGAUACUGGAAAUCUUGAGUACAAAUGAAGUAGGCGGAAUGAGUCAUGUAGCGGUGAAAUGCAUAGAUAUGACUCAGAACACCGAUUGCGAAGGCAGCUUACUAACAUGUAACUGACGCUGAGGGACAAAAGCGUGGGGAGCGAACAGGAUUAGAUA
Molecule: ribosomal RNA, 279 nt
Filed under: uncultured bacterium
Lineage: Bacteria
Description: partial 16S ribosomal RNA
Rfam family: Bacterial small subunit ribosomal RNA
Source: RNAcentral